GACGAACGCUGGCGGCGUGCCUAAUACAUGCAAGUAGAACGCUGAAGCGAGGAGCUUACUCUUCUUGGAUGAGUUGCGAACGGGUGAGUAACGCGUAGGUAACCUGCCUUGUAGCGGGGGAUAACUAUUGGAAACGAUAGCUAAUACCGCAUAACAAUGGAUGACACAUGUCAUUUAUUUGAAAGGGGCAAUUGCUCCACUACAAGAUGGACCUGCGUUGUAUUAGCUAGUAGGUGAGGUAAUGGCUCACCUAGGCGACGAUACAUAGCCGACCUGAGAGGGUGAUCGGCCACACUGGGACUGAGACACGGCCCAGACUCCUACGGGAGGCAGCAGUAGGGAAUCUUCGGCAAUGGGGGCAACCCUGACCGAGCAACGCCGCGUGAGUGAAGAAGGGUUUCGGAUCGUAAAGCUCGGUUGUAAGUCAAGAACGGGUGUGAGAGUGGAAAGUUCACACUGUGACGGUAGCUUACCAGAAAGGGACGGCUAACUACGUG
This 497-nucleotide ribosomal RNA is filed under the name uncultured bacterium. RNAcentral's name for it is "partial 16S ribosomal RNA". It matches the Rfam family "Bacterial small subunit ribosomal RNA", at positions 28 to 507 of the family's 1533-position model. The record is from RNAcentral.